This is a long non-coding RNA of Telopea speciosissima, 224 nucleotides long. RefSeq lists it as uncharacterized. The transcript is spliced from 2 exons. The record is from RefSeq and is a predicted model, not a curated record. NCBI's taxonomy places the organism in Eukaryota, Viridiplantae, Streptophyta, Magnoliopsida, Proteales, Proteaceae.
CAGGACACUAUUUUUCAGGCAGCAAACUUACUCUCUCUUUCUAACACAGGAGAGCUUAGGGACUCAAGGGCUGUACUUAAUCUUCGGGCUAACAUAACAGUUGCUGAUAUCAAUGUAUGUAAUGCAAGGCAUACAAAAGACAAGGUAUUACAACAAAAUUAUAUUGCUCACACCAAAUUUUAAGAGAUUUUCCGUUUUCCAUUCAGAUGAAAUAAUGUAGGGGG